RNAcentral lists this ribosomal RNA (747 nucleotides) under Virgibacillus halodenitrificans. Its description in RNAcentral is "bacterial SSU rRNA". It matches the Rfam family "Bacterial small subunit ribosomal RNA", at positions 62 to 777 of the family's 1533-position model. The record is from RNAcentral. Lineage: Bacteria; Bacillati; Bacillota; Bacilli; Caryophanales; Bacillaceae.
UCGAGCGCGGGAGCAGCUGAUCCUCUUCGGAGGUGACGCUUGUGGAACGAGCGGCGGACGGGUGAGUAACACGUGGGCAACCUGCCUGUAAGACUGGGAUAACCCCGGGAAACCGGGGCUAAUACCGGAUAAUACUUUUCAUCACCUGAUGGAAAGUUGAAAGGUGGCUUCUUGCUACCACUUACAGAUGGGCCCGCGGCGCAUUAGCUAGUUGGUGAGGUAACGGCUCACCAAGGCAACGAUGCGUAGCCGACCUGAGAGGGUGAUCGGCCACACUGGGACUGAGACACGGCCCAGACUCCUACGGGAGGCAGCAGUAGGGAAUCUUCCGCAAUGGACGAAAGUCUGACGGAGCAACGCCGCGUGAGUGAUGAAGGUUUUCGGAUCGUAAAGCUCUGUUGUUAGGGAAGAACAAGUGCCGUUCGAAUAGGGCGGCACCUUGACGGUACCUAACCAGAAAGCCCCGGCUAACUACGUGCCAGCAGCCGCGGUAAUACGUAGGGGGCAAGCGUUGUCCGGAAUUAUUGGGCGUAAAGCGCGCGCAGGCGGUCCUUUAAGUCUGAUGUGAAAGCCCACGGCUUAACCGUGGAGGGUCAUUGGAAACUGGAGGACUUGAGUACAGAAGAGGAGAGUGGAAUUCCACGUGUAGCGGUGACAUGCGUAGAGAUGUGAGGAACACCAGUGGCGAACGCGACUCUCUGGUCUGUAACUGACGCUGAGGCGCGAAAGCGUGGGGAGCGAACAGGA